Thalassophryne amazonica is the source of this 101-nucleotide long non-coding RNA. RefSeq lists it as uncharacterized. The record is from RefSeq and is a predicted model, not a curated record. Lineage: Eukaryota; Metazoa; Chordata; Actinopteri; Batrachoidiformes; Batrachoididae. The transcript is spliced from 3 exons.
UUGGAGGGAACGUCAGUUUCAUGUUCACCUGGUAGAUGAGGACUUUGAAGUUGCGCCUCUUGAGCAGCUCGUUUUCGUUGCCCUCCAGCUUCUUGAUCUGG